RNAcentral lists this long non-coding RNA (18905 nucleotides) under Citrus maxima (pomelo). Its description in RNAcentral is "long non-coding RNA (CMAX_LNC004179)". The record is from RNAcentral. Lineage: Eukaryota; Viridiplantae; Streptophyta; Magnoliopsida; Sapindales; Rutaceae.
GGUUCCGGGUCCGGCAUUGGCCAUGGAGAGGAUUCCGGGGCCGGUGUGCUUCUUCACGAAGUUCUCAUCGGCGAAUUUUGAGCCGUAGAUUGAUUCCCCUCCGGUUCCGUUUCCGGCGGUGAAGUCUCCCCCCUGGCACAUGAAUCCGGGGAUCACACGGUGGAAGGACGAGCCCUUGUAGUGGAGUGGCUUGCCGGACUUGCCGAUGCCUUUCUCGCCGGUGCAGAGGGCGCGGAAGUUCUCGGCGGUUCGGGGGGUGACGUCGGCGAAGAGUUCCAUCACGAUCCGGCCGGCCGGCUGACCGCCGACGGUCACGUCGAAGAACACUUUGGGGUUUGCCAUUUUUGAUUGGUUGAUUGGUUGAUUGGAGAGAAAAAAACAAACUAAACACGGAUUUCUGAUUUGGUGAUUUUUGGGCGAAUUUUUUAGGGUUUUGGGGCAGUUAAAUACGGGAUGGAGCGGUGGGGGAGUAACAAAAAGUGAAUCUGGACCGUUGAGGGGGAACACGUGGAGGGAUAUCGUGGGGCGGGGUGGAAGUAACUGAGGUUGAGUUAAGGUUGACUAGAGUUAUGUGAGGGAUCCCAGGCUGAGGUAAGGGUGUUCGCGGAUCGGAUUUUACGGAUUAGACAUCAAUUCAUAUCCGAUCAACAAUGUUACGGAUUAUAAUUUUUCAAUUCAAUCAAAUUCACGGAUUGAUUAAACUCAAUUCAAAUCCAAUCCAUACAUUUGCGAAUCGGAUGUAGAUUUGACUCAAUCCAUAUCCAAUCUAUACGUCUGCGGAUCAGAUGCGGAUUUAAUUUAAUUCAUAUCUAAUCUACCUUUAGCACAUUAGUUUUCGAAUUUAAAAUUUUUAGUUCUCCUCAAUCCAUGAACUAAUGAAAUUAAAAAAAAAUCUAAUAUAAAAUAAUUUUACUACCAAUUAAAUUUAAAAUUAAAUAAAAUUUAAACAAAUUAAUUGUUUAAAUAAAACUAAAAUAAUACGUUUAAAGUUUCAAAAUAUAAUACACUAAGAUUAAUUAUUCAAAUAAAGUUACAAUAAUACAUUAAUAUAACACCGAAAUUAAUUGUUCAAAUAAAGCCACAAUUAAUUGAAAUGGCGAAAUUUUUUAAACCAAACACAGUUUGAUCCUUCACCAUGGCUAUUGCACUUGUCAAAAAGUGGUGAUUACAGAGCCGUCAAUGAUGGGAACCAGGAGAAGUACGGGUGGCGAUCUUGAAGGUUGUGAUAGUGCAAUUGUUUGGCUGGAACCAGUGAUUGGGAAGUGGCUCGAUGGACUCAGGGAAGAAGAUGGCUUGCUCUCGCUAGAAUCACGCGAUUGACGUCCUUCAAAUUGGUGUCGAUAGUGUAUCGAACCAGUAUUAGGUGUUGCUAGUGCGUGUGACGACGGGAAAGUUUAAGGUUUUUUGUUUGCAAAUUAUUGGUGACUGGGCGCAAUGCGAAUCCCACAAUGAAACUUUCAAACCCACACUUAAUUUGUAGUUUCAACUUCCUAGGAAAGUUCUAAAUAGAUUUAACACAAACAAAAUCUUGACCCAAUGCAUAAGAAAACAUGAACCAAAGGUAUAGAGAAUGAUAUUGACGCCACACUUAAGAAAUAGAUGAGAAGGUGAGUGAUAAGUCUAAAUUUGGAACGCCAUAAGAAUGCAAAUUCUUGAUAAGUUCACUAGUUCUCAAAAGAACGAAAGAAAGAAUAAUCUUUCAAAUUCAACUAACAUUAAUCUCUAAUUCCAUUACAUAGUAAGGUUGCUGAGUUUAAAUAAUCUAAAAGAAACCCAAGAUCCUAAAAAUACAAAUGGAAACAUUGGAACAACCCUCCAAGUAAGUUUGUCAAAGGAUGCUUCAAAAGUCUUCACCAACCCACCAUAAUUAAUGUUAUCUUUGACAAAUUUAAUGCUAGCCUACUAUAAUUAAUGCUAUCAUUGACAAAUUUAAUGUUAGCCCACCAUCAUUUAUGGUAGACUUACCUUACACAUUGACAAACUUUUGACAAACUUGAAACAAAAUAAAGAAAUGUAGUUGAAAAACAAAUGAGUCGUUGAAAAUCUCAAGUCUGAAUAAACUUUAAUGAAUUUGUCAUAACUCCUUUUAGAGAACUCCAAAUCUAGCUCUGUAAAAUGCAUUGGAAAGCUAACUUAAUUAUUUUUCCAAUGGUAUAUAGCUUGCACAUUACUUCUGCCUCAAUCAAUACCAGUUUUAUUCCGAAUUUGACCUUUUUGCAUUUGAUACAAAUUGUGUAUUUGGCUGCCCAAUAACUUGAAUAAUGCCUACAAUGCCUUGUCUUCUCUUCAAGCCCAAUUCAUAAUGUCUUGCAUCUUGAAUUUUAUUUUCAAUCCAUAUUUUCUCAAUUAAUCCAUUUAAAGCGAUUUGCAUCUUUUUGGCUCUAACCCUUGUAAUUGGGUCUCCAUGAAUGUGCAAAUGAUCACUUGAAACUUUAAUGGUAUUCCCUUGAUGGUUCUCAUCAUGGCGUUAUGUUACUUUACUUUUGGGUGAUUUUACAAAUUGUUGGUAACUUGCCAUUAUGUUACUUUGAUGUUGCUAGUGCGUGUGACUUUGCUUUUUAUUUUGUUUUCUAAUUUUUAUAAGUUAUAUUGUAUAUUUGAUUUUUUAAUUAUUUUUUAUUUAAUAUUAUUAUUGGGUAAUGGCUAAGAUAUGUUAUAGUGCUUAUGUAACUAUGUAAUGUUACAUUUAUAAUACUAUUUAAUUAAAUUUAUAAUAAUUUUUUAACUAAAUAUAUAUAUAGAUAUAUAUAUAUAUAUAUAUAUAUGACAAUUAUUUACAAUGCUUUAUUGGAGAGAAACUUCCAAAGCAGUCGUCUGGUAUAGAAGUACUAGGCUCUGAUACCAGAAGGAAAUAGGAUCGAAGGAUGAAUGUGUUUUAAGAAAGAAAUUAUAAACAAAGAAAUCAAUUCGCGAUUGAGUAGAUUUUAUUAAGAGUACGUGGCGUUGUGACCAUAUCGAUGCAGAACUUAAUCUGCCUUCGUGACCAGAUCUGACUUAGAACAUAUCAAUAUCACGCACGUUCUGUUUUCCAGCCGAUAUACUAUGUUUCUUUACCAGAUAUGAAUUAGGUUCUUUAAACAAGCCUAGCAACAGAUCUAGAGGCUCAUAUAUCGUACUAGAUCUGGAUCCCAGAAAAAGCACUCUGAAUGAAUGGAGGGAGAAGAGAAGAUACAACUGAGGAUAGAGAUCAGGUCUCGUUGCCUAAGAGGAACGUAGCAGUUUUAUGGCAGAGCUGAUACAGAUCAGUCUGCAAAAUAUGCAUAAAAUUUAAAUUACUGAAAUUUAAAUGCUUUAAAGUAAAUUGCGGAAAUUAAAAUGCAGAACUUUAAAUUUACAUCAAAGCUUUAAAUAAAAAUUUAAAGAACGAAUUAAACAUACAUGUUUGCUUUAUUUCUUUGAACUCAACCCUUUGUACAAUUUUACAGAUCUCUUCAAGAAGAAAGAUUGAAAGAUGGGAAGAUUACAAGACAGGAAAGGUUUCCUUGAUGUCUUGAUCCAGACUUCCCAAGAGAGAGAGAGAGAGAGAGAGAGAGGGAGAAGAAGAAGAGAAAGAAAAUUAGAUCUGAAAAAUCUGAGGAGUCUAAGUCUUCCUCUCGAUUUAAAUACAAAAAUAUUUUUUUUUAACUGUAGCGGGCCUGUAGCUUCUCUACUGUAGCGGAGCUUGCUUGAAACAGUAAUCUUUGGAACAUACAGUAUUUUCUAAUUUUAAUUCGGGUGAAGAGACAUGUGCGCUCUCACUUGUGUCCAGGGGACCACCCGAGGGUACAAACAAACGAACAAAAAUGGAAAAUACAAGGAAAAAUACUGGAAUACUCUUUUUUUUUCUUUUUUUUUUAAACAUACAUAACAAUUAUUUACAAUGCUUUAUUAGAGAGAAAAUUCCAAAGCAGUCGUCUUCAUUUUCAUCUCCAAGAGAGAUAAAGGGCUCUUCAUCUUGAUCAUCAUCCGAGGAGUCUGCAACUGAGGAUUUUGAUCUUGAAGUGAGGAGCUGCUCCAUGACUUUAAAAUAUUCUUCUUCAGAUUUGGCACUGGCCAACAGAGAUUGGGCUUUGGAUUUUUGGGUUAGAAAGGUCUCUUGGGCUUUCACGGCUUUAAUAGAUGGGGGUAAGAAGCCUUUAGAACAGAGCCAAUUGCGGAUCAGGGUGUCUGUCAAUUUAGACUGUUCGUCAAACUUUGACCACCAUUUUACUUUGAAUGUCCUUUGUAAGAUGAGCUGGGCAUCUUGGGUAUGAAAUCUGAGGUUCCACAUCCAUACCCAUGGAAGGAAGAAAUUUGUACAGAAACAGAGAAAUGGGGGAACCCUUUUCUCAGAUUCAGAAGGAAUAUAGUGGGCUUUAAAGAGGUUUAAACAAUGGGUGGCAUUUGGAGUUAGGAUCUGAGGGAUUGGGCCAAAAGAAUUCCACCAAUGUUGAAACCAGUUUGGGAGGCUUUGAACAAUUAUUUUUGAAUUGAAGAAAAAUAACCAAGAGUGAGAUUUUUUGGGGUUUUGGAUAAAAAAUGUGUUAUACCAGGCUUGUUGGUAAUCCCAAUAGGAAUAAGUCAAACAAUGUGGUAAACACAUUUGAAAAUUUGGAGGGAAGGUUUUUUGUUUGUGAAGUUGAUCACCCCACUGGUUUGGGCUCAAGACUUUUAGGAUAGUAGCCAUGGAAUAGGCUGGCUCUGAAUGGGUUUCACUAAGAAAGAAAUGUUUGAAUUUUACUGACUCAGUGGCUUCUAAAAUGCUUUGAUAGUAAGACUGGGGUUUUGUAAGAUCCCAUGGUUUGAAAAACCAACCUUUAGGGAAAAACUUUGAAAUAGAUUGAAAAGGAUCAGCAUGGUAAAAACCAUCUUCUAUAGAUAAAAUAUUUUGGAAGUGGGUUUUAUCAAACCAAUCAGAAGAUUUCUUUGAAAGUGUUGGCUGGGAAAGCACAAUUUGAGAAGAUGAACUUUCACCAGAGACAACUACAUUUUGAGAAGAGGGUUUUGAAAUCUCUUUGGAAACAAGUUUUUCUUUUUCAAUCUCUUCUUUAGGAGAAAUUUGGCUUUGGGAAAAGCUUUGUAGAGCGAGCAUAAGCUCAGUGGAUUUUGUAAUGGAACUCAUCCAUUGUUUUACUUGGUCAUCAGAGGUAAUUGCUUUGUAUUGGGCUUCUUGUUCUUCAACCAUUUCAAUCCAGGAUUUGAUGGGCAUGGCAGAAGAAAGCAAAUUUUCUUUAGAAGGGGUUGAAUGAGGUUCUUUAGAGGUUGCUUGAGACUCAGAGUCUUUAAGAACAACUUUACCUUUGUCCUUCUUUCUUGGCGGCAUUAUCUGUUUUGGAGAAAUUCUCUGGUUAGAAAAUCAGAGACAUAAUUUUUAUCUCCUUUAAUAAAUUCAAUAUUGAAAUCAAAAACACUUAAAAUGGCUUGCCAUCUUGCAAAAAUUUGUUUUGAAGCAAUAUUUUGAACAUCUUUUUCCAAAACAUGUUUUGCAGCUUUGCAAUCAAUUCUAAGCAGAAAUUUUUGAUUUAAUAAAUCACUUUGGAAUUUAGAUAUGCAUAAAACAAUAGAAAGAAUUUCUUUUUUUAUAGUAGAAUAAUUUUUCUCGCAAUCAUUCCAAUGUGCAGAAACAUAUUGUAUUAUAUGCUCUUUAUCAUUCUCUUUUUGUUUUAGUAUACCUUCAUAGCCUAAAUCAGAUGCAUCUGUUUCAACUAUUUUAGGUAAUGCAUGAUUUGCCAAGAAUAAACAAGGAAUAUUCUUUACAGAAUUUUUUAUCAAUCGGACAGCUUUGGUGUGUUCAUCUGUCCAUGCAACAUGAUUCUUUUUUAAUAUGUCAUGCAAAGGUUUAGACAUCCGGUUAAUAUUAGGACAGAAAUCAAGAACAUAAUUUAGACUUCCUAAAAAUCUUUGUAGUUGGGUUUUAUCAAGAAUUUUAUCAGGAAAUUUAUCCGCAAACAAAAGUGAUCGUUCAAUAGGGGUGAUAGUUCCUUUAGAAAUAUAGUGACCAAGGAAUCUGACUUUUGUUUGGAACAAUGAAACUUUAGAACUAGAAAGGGCUAGGCCAGCCUUCUUAGUGGCAAAAUAAAAAGUUUUUAAAUGCUUGAAAUGUUGAUCAAUUGUUUGAGAAAAAAUCAACACGUCAUCUAUAUAAACAAUGCAAAACUCAGAAUAAGGGUUAUAGAUGUCAUUCAUGAUUCUUUGAAACUCUGAUGGUGCAUUCUUUAAACCGAAUGGUUUUACAGUCUACUCAUAUUGUCCAAAAGGAACAGUAAAGGCAGUUUUAUAGCGGUCAUUAGGGUGGAUUUGGAUUUGCCAAAAACCCGAUUUCAUGUCAAAUUUUGAAAAAAUAAAAGCUGAACACAAUUUCUGGAGUAAAUCGUUUUUAUUAGGUAUAGGAUAUCUAAUCUAUUUUAAUGCUUUAUUUAAAGGUUUGUAAUUUAUUACAAGUCUUGGUGUUCCUCUUUCUAUUUCGGAGUUUUUAUUAACAUAAAAAGCGGCCCAAGACCAUGGGGAUCUGGACUUUACAAUGAGUCCUUUGGUCUCUAAAUCUUUUAUCUCAUUUUUACAGUGUUGUUCCAAUUCCAUGUUCAUUUGGAUUGGACGAGCUUUAGUGGGUAUUUAUUUUUCAUCAAAAGAAUUGUCAUAGGGCAAAUCUACCAAAUGUUGUUUUCUAUCCCAAAAAGCAAAUGGUAAAUCGGCGCAUAUUUUUUUUUCAAUGAGAUUUUUAAAAUCAGAGAUCUUUCUUUGUAUAAAGUCAUUUUGUAACUGGCUUUCAAUUCUUUGUAGACUUAAGUCCUUUUUUAAACAAAACAAGUCAUUUUGUUUAGAUUUAAGCAUGGCAUUGAUUUGAUUCUGGUAAACAGAACAAGCUUUAACAAUAUUUAGAUUUCUUGUUUUUGGUUUCUCAAUAAAAGGGAAAACAAGCUUUUUGGAUUUUGCUUUAAAACAUAUGCUAUCAUAAUUGACAAUAUAUGAGGUAAUUAAAUUUAUAAAUGAGGUUCCUAAAAUGACUGUAUGGUGUAUGUCAUUUGUAAGAAGAAAAGAAGUUCUGAAUUCAAAACCAUUGUUAUGCACUGAGGCGUCUACUUUUGACUUAAUUUUUAGUUUUGAAUUAUUGGCGGCCGAGAGUCUUUCAUUUGUCUUUUCAUGGAAUUUUUUAGGGACAAUAUCUUCUUUAAUGCAAUUCAAAUCGGCACCAGUGUCAAAGAGAGCAAUGGUGUCAAUUUCAAAAUCUUUAGAAAAAAUUAAAGUGAUUUUCAUCAAAUACUUUCUGGUGGUGAUUUGUUUUAAAACAAACAGGAAAUCAUUAGGUGCAGAUUCAAUGUUUUCAAGGUUUUGUUCAUUGUCACCAUCAGUUUCGGCUUCUUUAUCAGAAUUAUCUUCUAAUUGUUUUUGUAUGAGAAGUUGGAUAGUAUCAGAAUCAUUCUUUUGUUUUUCUUUUAAUUCUUUAAUCUCAAGUUUGAUUUCUUUGAUCUUUUUCUGAAGAUCUUGGAUAUUGGGGACAGUUUUGUUUGUUUUCUUUUUGUCCAAAAUCUCAGUAAGGUCAUAAGAGUUCUUUUUAACAAUUGGAACUUUAGAAGUUUCUGCUUUAUUAGAAUCUAAGGUCUUUAAAAGUUUAUCAAGGUAUUCUUUCUAAAUAUUCGGAUCAGUAAUAUGUUUAACAAGUUCAAGAAAAAUUUCUUGGUCUUUAGUCAAAACAUUGAUUUUCUUUAAAUAGGAAUCUGAAUUGCUGGUGUCGGAGUCACUCAAAGAAACAGAUUCAGAGUCAUUUAACUCAUCAACCUGUAGAGGUUCACUAUCUCCCGUCAUGGAAGACUCAGAGUCAGAAGACUCUAUAAGCAAAGAGGCAACUUUGGAGAGGGUUUCAUCAUCAAGAUCAAGCUCAUGGAGCUUUCUGUUCAUUCUGCAAAACUUUGCAGUAUGGCCUUUCUUUCCACAUUUGUAACAUGUGGCUUCUUUAUAAUUAAACGAGAUUUUUGGUUUGGCUCUAAACUCUUUCUUUUUAGAGAAGUUGGGUUUCUUAUAAGGCUUCAAAGGUUUCUUAUAAGGAAGUUCUCUAAAGUCUUGAAAGGGUUUCUUAUGAAAUCUAGAUUUGUAAUGUUUCUUGUAAGGUUUUGUAGAACACUUACCAUUACAAUCUUUGGAAGUAGAAGUCUUAAAGGGGUUAUAAUUGAAUUGUUUACAGAAACUGCCUAAUUCUUGCUUAGACUUCUUAAGCUCCCAUUUUAGACGUUUCUGUAUCUUCAAAUCUUGACAAAUCUUUAAGCCUUCCUUAUUGACAAAACUAACAAGUUCACCAUAGGUGAGCUCAUCAUAAGGAAUUCGGUUAUCAUAAAGAGCUUUAAUGGAAUUCCUAACCUUUUCUCCUAGUAGGGUAGGUAAACCUGCAAGGAAUUUCUCUUUCCAAGUUAUAAGAUUUGCAUCAUCCCUAAGGAAGAGUCUGGUGAAGAAAGUGGUUUUAUAGCUUUGGAAUUCACUAAGUUUUCUACACCUCAGGUUGUGUAGUAACUCGGCGUUUUUGUCUCUAAGGUGAGAAGGGUCACCUAUGAAAUGGAGGGAUAUAGUUAGAAUCAGGGUAGCUACAUCAUCCUGAAUUGGACUAUUGAACUCAUAAAGAAUAGGGGCAUUAUUCUCAUCAACUUGAAUGGAGUUUAGGAUAUCUAAUUGUUGCUGUUUGGUGAGGAGAUGAUCCCACCAUCCUUUAAGUUGACCAGUAAAACCAGCAACGAGAAUUUCUGCAAUGGCUCUAUCCGAAGUUCCCGUCUAUGUUUUAUAGGCAUUGGCUGCCAUGGUCAUUUGUCGCAACAAUCCUAGGAUGUUGUAUUCAGACAUACCAUCAAUAUUCCACUCAUAGACAGAAGAUGCAUUAAAUCGUGAUUGAUUUAAAGCACUUGGUCUAUUAUCUAUAGCUAGAUCUGGUGGAGUCUUGACAGUAGGUAGGGCUAAAUCCCAAUGGAUUUUGUUAGCAUGAGGAACAAAAGGUUCUUCUUUAAAUGCUUCUAUGUCUGAAGAGAUUGUAGAAACAUCAUCAUGCUCUAGUACACCAAUCUUGCUGGAUUGGGCACUAUCAGGGGCUAUUUGGACCUUAGAAGAAAAAGAAGAAGAUGAAGCUUCUAUUCAAUCUAAUUGGUCUCUAAUGGCUUUAGCAAAAUCUGAUUUUGACUCUUGAACAAGCUUUUGGCUAGUUUUCGAAACCUGGAAAGGUUUGAAAAUAGGUUCCUUAAGCUUUUUGUCAGAAUCCGAUUUUGAUGAAACAGGAGAAACUUUUAUGGUUGGCUUUUGGAACUGGCUUUCUAUCCUAGUCAAUUGUUUUCCUAUAGUAUUUAAGUUAGUAUUACAAAAAUUAUUCUGUUGAAUAAUACUACUUAAAUUCGCAUCAGAAUCAUUUGGUUUUGGGAUUUUGUAAGGUGAGGCUCUAAUCUCAAUAGGAGGUUCACCAUGGUUAAUAGUUAAACUCCUAAGAGGUGGAUGUUCAGAUUCUAUGGUUCUAUUGCUAUCAGAAAGAUUCCACUCAGGGGUUUUCUUCCUAACAGUAAUAGGGUUUGACUCUUUAAAAGGAUAAGAGAUGUUGUUAUUGGAAGAAUAUAUCUCAAACCAAUCAAAAAACAAUAUAUGAAUUUUUUGAGAAUUUACAAAUGCAUAAUAUGUCUCUUGAAUUUCUUUUCUUUUAUUUAGAAAAUGUUUAAAAAACCAGAGUCUUUUUUCUUUAUUAUUAUCUGAAUAAAAGUCAUUGUGAAGAAGAGUUUUAUUCAGCUCAAAGUCUUUCGUUAUGACAUUUAUUACAUUUUCUGUGACAGCAGAAAACGUAGGAGAAGUUGGAGGAGAAGGGUCCUUCUCUUCCUGUCUUUGCUCAUGUUGUUUCGGAAUCACUGGUGCAGUGGCACCUUCAAAAAUCCAUUCAUCUGGAAGAUUGAUAUCUUUCCAUUGUAUUGAUUUUGGAAUGACAGUAUUUGCUUUGGACAGAUCAGUUUGUAAAAGGAGAGUCUCGUCUCUUUUUGACUGGAAUUUAUGUUGCGUGCUAAACGCAGAAAUCAUGGCUUUAUAAGAAAUUUUAAAGAUUAAAGCAACUGGGACAGAUCCUUUUAUCAUGUGAUAAUUAUGGGUCUUGAUUUGUAAAAUCAUACUUUUUAAAAUGUUCUUGUCUUUUAAAGAAAUUGUUAUGUUGGGAUAACAAUUGAAUGAAAUGGGACCUUUACAAAGACUUGAUUCUAUACUACUUAGUAAAGAAUCAUCAAAGGAGAUGAAACGACCAUCUCUCAGGACAACCAGAAUAGACGUAUCAAGACAUUCUUUCGUUAGAGGUUUUAUGCCGACUUGUAUUAGUCCGAUGUGAAUAUAAUUAAAAUUUUUAUCUUUUAAUUUCUUUAAAGACUGUUAUGAAAACAAAUGAAUUGUUUCAAAAGGUUCUGAAAGGGUUAUGUCACGUUCUUCGGUCUUUAUAACAUAAUCAUUUUUUAAAAAAUCAAGAUUUUUUGUUUUGUAAAUCAUUUCUUUAUUCACCUUUGGUAAUUCACAAUUAUCAAUUGCUUUAUUGAAGUCUUCGAUAACAAAUUCUUCAGAAUUCACAACAUUCUUUGAAUCGCUAGUUCUUCCAGAAGAAGAGCUAGAAAAGGACGAUGCUCUACAAAGUAGAGAAUCCAUGAAUCAAAACCUAUGGUCUACUCAAAGACCUGUUGGUAUGGUUACAGGUUUGGUUUUACUGCCCUAAGCGGAAAAUCUUAUCCUAAAGCGGGACUGACUACCAGUAAGGAAUUCACCACACAAACAAGAAUUAAAAUAAAACACAAGUCUUUAGACACAGAGACUCUAAACUAUACAACACUUUCCUCCCCUUGGCUCUGAUACCAGAAGGAAAUAGGAUAAUGGAUGUGUUUCAUAUAUAUAUUGCGGAUUCACGAAUUUUUACAGAUUUGUACCAGUAAAUCCAUAUCCAAUCCAUCGACUGCGGAUUUUUAAAAUUUUAAUCCAUAUCCAAUCCACGGAUCCACGGAUCGAAUUUAUACGGAUCAGACAUAUUGAAUUGAUCGGAUUAGAUUAUGAACACCCUUAAGCUGAGGCUAGGUGUUUUUAGUUUUGGAUAUGUCGUUUUGUCAGUGGGAACGGCGCCAUUUGUUUGGGUUUAAAAUUGAGCAUAUUUAUGAUACUUAGAGGAAUCGUACAAAAAUCUGUUAACAUAUAUGUUUCCAUAAUAUUGAUUUUGAUGAUAACAAACAAGUUUAAGAAUGAUUAAUCUUUUAAGCUCAAAUUAUUUAAUAUUCUUUUUAAAUAAAUCAUUAUUUUCACAUUAUAAAUGUUUUAUAUUUAAUGGAAAAAUGAUUUUAUGAAAUUGAUUGUUUUUAUUCUUUUUAAAUAAAUCAUUAUUUUCACAUUAUAAAUGUUUCAUAUUUAAUGGAAAAAUGAUUUUAUGAAAUUGGUUAUUUUUCAAAGUUUAUGGUUUAAUUGAAAGAAUUUUGAAAACUUUGAAAUAAACAAGUAUUGCUUGAAAUUUUGGAGAAGGACUUAUUUGAAAAGUGUCAUAGUAUUUUGGGCUAUACCAUAAUUUCAGAAAGUUUUGGGAUUAACAAAGCAUUACUUAGAAAUUCUGAAAUUGGACCUAUGUGCAAUGUUUCAUAACAUUUUGGGUCAUACUAUAGUUUUGUAAAGUUUUGGGGUCAAACUGUAAUUUCAGAAAAUUCUUUCAGUGUAGCAAUCACUGUAGCAAACGGCUAACCGUUUAUUUAAAAAUGGCUAACCGUUUAUUUAAAAACGGCUAACCGAUAAUUUCCAGAAAGCAUGUUCUGCAAAGUAUUGUUAAAAUGAUGAUUCUGGAAACUAACGGUGAACCGUUUACUGAAAACGGUUAACCGAUUAUUUUCAAAUUGCUAACCUUGAACCGUUUAGUAAGAACGGUUAAACCAAAUUUAUUUUGCAGGUCUCUGGAAGUUAACGGCGAAAGGGUAAGCCUAAACGACUAACCGUUUAUUUGAAAAUUGGCCCAACGGUAACUUUGACCGGCCUAAACGGUUAACCGUUAAUAGUUAACGAUGAACCGUUUUCGAGCAGACAGUCUAUAACGGCUAGUUUUUCAGCUCCAACUAUAAAUAAGUUCAAUCCAAUUCAAACAAGUAGAAUUCCAACGAUCAUCAUUGAGCAAAAUAUUGAGAAUACAACUUUCAUUGAGCUUUAAAUCUUUGUAUUCAUCUCAUUCAUUCACACAUUGAGCUUUCACUUGUGAUCAAAUACAUUGUAUGAGAGGGAUUCAUUUGUAAUCUUUUUUGUAAAAUCAAGUUAAAAGAUUGUAAGUGUUGGGAUACACUUGGGUUAAGAGAUUGGGGAUAAUCUCUUGUUGUAAAGGUCCAUUGACACCUUGGAAGUCAAUUGUAAGCGUUUGAAGCCUUGGGAGGCUAGCUUAGUGAAAUCCUCAAGCCCGGUGAGCUUGGAGGCGUGGACGUAGGCGGGGAUUGCCGAACCACGUAAAAAUCAUUGUGUUCGUUUUCUCUUCCCUUACUCUUUUAAUAUUGUGUAUGAUUGAAUUUAUUGUUUUCAAUUUGAUUAAGGCAAUAGAUUAAAUUGUUGUGUGGUUUGCUUAGCUUAAAUUUUAAAAUCCCAAUUCACCCCCCUCUUGGGUUGCCUAGUUAGUAUUUCAAAAUCGUCAUACGUAGUUACGUACUAAACUCAAACUGACUGGUCUGAGUAUUUAUUUAAUUUUAAUCAAUUAAAUACACCUGACUGAGUGAGUUUAAAUCUCAUCGGAUGGUGUACAAAUACGAUCUGUCGAAUUCAUAGGAAUUAUUUUAAUCUCCGCCACAAAAAUAAAAAGAAUUACAUUUUUAUUAUUUCUAAAAAAACUUUCAAAUAAUAAUAACGUCCGCAUUAUUGAAUUCCACAAAUCCUGCAAUAUAAGAUGCCCAUUUGAUGUCUAUAUAAUCCUCCAAUUCAAGCUGCCCAUUUGAUGAUUAUAUUUUUUUUUUAUUUUUCUCAUUUUUGUCUUCUUGUUUCCUUAACAAAUAAUAAUAUAUAAAUACUUCAAAAAUACUUCAAAAAUAAACAAGAAUAUAAUGUUAGUCAACAUGGCAGCUUUCACUUUUAGAAAGAAAAAGAAGGAAAACGAAAUUAAAAAGAUUCUGUACUGGACAAACUAUAAUUCCCCAUUCAGAGGUAGUUAAAUUUCAUCCAUACAUUUCAUUAAUAAUAAAUAAAUGAUACAAGAUAAUUUAAAAAUUUAGAAGAAUUUAAGCUAAGAAACCCAAAAUAAAGUUGCUUGGAAUUUAUAACAUCACUUUCCAAAUAAAAAUAAUUGUACAAAUGCACUUAUAUACUUCAAGUUGACAGCUUAUGCAGCAGAAAGGAAUUGAUUAUAUCAUUAUCCUUGCUGAAAAUACGUAGGUAAAGAGAUAGAGAGGUUUUUUUUUUUUUUUUUUGAAUGAGAACUAUUGCUCAUGAUAUUUACAAUCAUAUAAAUAUUGAGACCCGUUUACAUCAAUUUUGAUAUGACACCGCUCAGAUUUUAAACCUUCUCAAAUAUUCGAGGAACAUCAACUCCCAUCCUGAGAGAAAGACUGUCUUCACUCAAGCUCUAGGACUCCAAAAAAAAAAAUUAAAUUAAACUCCUACAAUACGUUUACGGAGGCUCGAACUGCUUCCCUCACAUUUAUGAAUGAGUAGCUCUAGCCACUUGGGCUUAGCCCUAAGCCCAAGUGGUUAGAUAGAGAGGUAUUAGAUGCAAAGCAAAAGUGAUUUUCUUUCUUUCUUUAUCCGUGUUUUGAUGAAAAAAGUGAUUUGAGUGAGUAAUCAUCAUUGUACUAAACAAAUAAUUGAAAGAGUGGCAUACUAAUAAUCUUCACAAGCGCCAUUCAUUGGCUUCUUACUCUUUUUUUUUUUAAGAGAGAAUAUAGUAACAAAUUUAAUAUCACUAUCUUUUUCGUUCUAAACAGGGGUGGCUUUAGGUAUAGGCGAGUAAGACAGUCGCCUAAGGCCUCAUAUUUUAAGAAGGUCUCAUUUUUUUUAAUAUUUUCUUAAUAAUUCUCUAAUUAAUAAAUUUUUUUAAUACAUAUUUUAAGAAUUAAGAGUUAUUUUUGAUUAAAAAAAAUCUAUUUUUGGAAACCUUAAUUUUAAAGAAAUAUAAUUAAUAAUAUUCUUUAACCAUUAGUUGAUUCAUUAUUAUUAUUUCCAAAAAAUUAUUUACCUUUUUAAUUAUUCAAUGUUAGAAUCUUUGAUUUUUAGUAUUUCUUUUAAUUUCUAUUAAAAACCUUAUAAUCUCAAGAAUUAGUAAAUGAAAAAAAUUUCUUAUUCUUUUCUAUACAAAGAAAAUCAUUAUAUUUAUUGGUUCAUGUAAAAUAAUUAGUUUCUUAAAAUAUAAAGUCCAUUUUUGUUUUUGAACAUCAAUUCAUCAUUUCAAAAUUUUGUACUCUAUCAUUUUAAAUAUUCUAUUUGAAAAAAAUAUUGUUUUUAUUUAUUUGUCUGUUUGUUUUUAACGGUUUUAAUGGAAUAAAAAAAAUACCUUCUUGACUAUUUUUUAGGUUUUAUUUUUAAAAUUUUUGAUCUUUUUUUAUUAUUAUUGAAAUUCAAAAAUUAAAGAUGAAAUAAAUUUUAAUUCUUUUUAUUGUCUUUGAGUAUUGAAAUUACAAAAUAAAUAGAGGACUCAUAAGAAAAUUUUGCCUAAAGCCCCUCAGACUCUAAAAAGGAUAGCAAAAUGCUCCAUGAAAUCCUACCUCAAAUGAGAUAAAUUUUAAUGAUUUUUCUAAAAGUAAGAAAAAAAUAAUUUAUAAAUAAUUUAUAGAUUGAAAUUUGGCUUUAUACAUCUUACCCUAUCUCUACCGUCUAAAUAUUUUAUAUUUUUAUAUAGUUUAAGAUAUUAUUUCAAUUGGAUUAUUUUUUAUUUUUAAUAAUUUAAAUAUUUUACAAUAUGUUGGUGGUGGUUUUAUUUGAGUCAUUUUAAUUUUCUUUUCACCAAAAUUAUAUAUAAAAAUCAACAAUAAAAUAAGCAAAUGAGAAGACGGUGGGAUGGAUAACUUAUCUUACACAAAGAUUUUCUAUUCCCAUUAGAGAAUGAAAUUUAUUCUAAUGGGGGUGGGUAAUCGAGAUGGUCUCCCCAAUUACUCCGCCACGUUGUCAUCCUUAUACUAAAUCAACCGUAUUCUACCAAGCAAUACGACCAUCGUGAAGAAACAAUGUAUUAUAUAUUGUUUAUAAUUUAUAGAAUGCGUAAGGAAGCAGAAAAUUAUCUUUGAAAAUGAGAGGGAAAUGGAGUUUACAGGAAAUUUCCUGCUAUCAUCAAAUUCGGCUACAUGAUAGCAAGUGUCAUUGGUAAGGAAGCUUACAACUUCAAAUUUAUAUACGCGGGCGAUAUAUAUAUAGCAUAAUUGGCAAAAAUGAGACACCAAAUUUCAUUAUUGACAAAACACACAGCAGAAGUGAUUGGUCUUCUAAUUUGAUCUGUUUACCCGGUAUUUAUGGUGCUAAAAAGCAACAACCAUGCACGCUUUUUCUUCUUUUAUUUUUGGGCUUUUUUUUUGUGAGGGUUUUUUUUUUGGGGGGGCCUGAUUCAAUUUCGUUAGUUUAAAAAUUAAAAUUGAUCUGUUGUAACUUUUAAAAUUGGCCAAAACACAGCUACGUCAUGUCGAUCCGUGUUAAGUUGUGAUUAUAACUAUAUGUGUAGUGCGAGAAUUUCUUGAUGACUGGACGACGCGGCAACAAAAGUAGGCCAAGAUUCCUCUCAUCGGAUCACAGAGUGGGAGAAAGAAUAGAUAUGACGAAUGGCAGCAAUUCUCCAAUUCCAAAUUCAUAUUCGUCUCAGUGAAAGAUUAGGCUUAUGGGGAGACGACACGAGUUUGAAACUGGUAAAAUUGGGCCUAUUAAGGCCCAGAUCAAAGUCCGACCCCCGUGCCCUCUCCAACAAAAUCACUAUCUCACAAAAAUCUCAGUCCAAGAGAAGGACAUUCCGAAGGAUAUUCCACGCUAAUUUUUCAAAUUUCCUUUUUUUUUUCCCUUUUUUUUUUUCUUUCUCCACCUACUAUACAGUUCCACAUCUCACAAAAAUCUCCAACUACUAGGCCCCAUGCAGCCGUGCUGGGUCUCCAUCAAAACGACAAAUACUAUAUAUUUUCCAAUUUUUAUAAUGCAUGUUUAAAAAAUAUAUUUCCCCUUUUGUCAUCUUCCCUCCUUAUCUAAAAUUAUCCUUUCAUCUCCGUUUACUUGCUCUACCCCACGCGCCGACCAAGUCACCCCAAUUCUUUAUUUCGUAAUGUCAGGUAUUUUGCAGAUCCAUAUCGAUAAUUAUCCAACCUCUACUCCAUUUAUCGGCAAUUCCGCCAUCGGAUUCCCGCCGAUUCAAGGAAAAAUAAAGGCACAUCAAAUUAAAAAAACAUAAAAAAGGAUACGUAAUAUAACAAGACAAGCCCUAUCUUAUUUAAAAAAGGCAGCUCAUAGAAAGACAUAAAAAACAGUUCAUCAAGAACCACCACCGGAGACCCGAUCCGACCCGAACAAGUAACAUAGCAGGAAAAUUAGAUAAAGAUUAAAAGUCCUACAGACACGCCCACAUAAUAAUAGAUAACAUAAUCAUCAUCACGAUCGCGAUCAGACGGCCCGUGAUGAUGGCGAUCAUUAUCAUGAUCAAAUCUAAGACAAUUGACCGCAAUCAGCGAUCACGACGGGCUUGUUGGUCCUUCCGGAGCUGGACCCCACUUUCUCGAUGGCCUUGACGACGUCCAUGCCUUCGACGACUUGACCGAACACAACGUGCUUCCCAUCGAGCCACUCGGUCUUGGCCGUACAGACGAAGAACUGAGAUCCGUUGGUUCCGGGUCCGGCAUUCGCCAUGGAUAGGAUUCCGGGGCCGGUGUGCUUCUUCACGAAGUUCUCAUCGGCGAAUUUCGAGCCGUAGAUUGAUUCGCCUCCGGUUCCGUUUCCGGCGGUGAAGUCUCCCCCCUGGCACAUGAAUCCGGGGAUCACACGGUGGAAGGACGAGCCCUUGUAGUGGAGUGGCUUGCCGGACUUGCCGACGCCUUUCUCGCCGGUGCAGAGGGCUCGGAAGUUCUCGGCGGUUCGGGGGGUGACAUCGGCGAAGAGUUCCAUCACGAUCCGGCCGGCCGGCUGACCGCCGACGGUCAUGUCGAAGAACACUUUGGGGUUUGGCAUUUUUGAUUGGUUGAUUGGAGAGAAAAAAACAAACUAAACACGAACUUCUGAUUUGGUGAUUUGUUGGCGAAUUUGUUAGGGUUUUGGGGCAAUUAAAUAGGGGAUGAAGCGGUGGGGGAGUAACAAAAAGUGAAUCUGGACCGUUGAGGUGGGACACGUGGAGGUAUCGUGGGGCGGGGUGGAAGUAACUGUGGUUGAGUUAAGGUUUACUAGAGUUAUGUGAGGGAUCCAAGGCUGGGUGUUUUAAGUUUUGGAUAUGUCGUUUUGUCAGUGGGAACGGCGUCGUUUGUUUGGGUUUAAAAUUGCGCAUAUUUAUGAUACGUAGCGGAAUCGUACAAAAAUCGUCAUACGUACUAAACUCAAACUGACUGGUCUGAGUAUUUAUUUAAUCAAUUAAAUACACCUGACUGAGUGAGUUUAAAUCUCAUCGGACGGUGUACAAAUACGAUCUGUCGAAUUCAUAGAAAUUAUUUUAAUCUCGCCAUAAAAAUUAAAAAAAAUUAUAUUUUUUAUUAUUUCUAAAAAAAUUUCAAAUUAUAAUAACGUCCGCAUUAAUGAAUUCCACAAAUCCUGCAAUUUAAGAUGCCCAUUUGAUAUUUGUAUAAUCCUCCAAUUCAAGUUGCCCAUUUGAUGAUUAUAUUUUUUUUUUCUCAUUUUUGUCUUCUUGUUUCCUUAACAAAUAAUAAUAUAUAAAUACAAAAAAUACUUCAAAAAUAAACAAGAAUAUAAUGUUAGCCAACAUGGCAGCUUUCACUUUUAGAAAGAAAAAGAAGGAAAACGAAAUUAGAAAGAUUCUGUACUGGACAAACUAUAAUUCCCCACUCAGAGGUAGUUAAAUUUCAUCCAUACAUUUCAUUAAUAAUAAAUAAAUGAUACAAGAUAAUUUAAAAAUUUAGAAGAAUUUAAGCUAAGAAACCCAAAAUAAAGUUGCUUUGAAUUUAUAACAUCACUUUCCAAAUAAAAAUAAUUGUACAAAUGCACUUAUAUACUUCCGAGUUGACAGCUUAUGCGGCGGAAAGGAAUUGAUUAUAUCAUUAUCCUUGCUAAAAAUACGUAGGUAAAGAGAUAGAGAGGUAUUAGAUGCAAAGCAAAAGUGAUUUUCUUUCUUUGUUUAUCCGUGUUUUGAUGAAAAAAGUGAUUUGAGUGAGUAAUCAUCAUUGUACUAAACAAAUAAUUGAAAGAGGGGCAUACUAAUAAUCUUCACAAGCGCCAUUCAUUGGCUUCUCACUCUUUUUUUUUUUUUUUUUAAGAGAGAAUAUAGUAACAAAUUUAAUAUCACUAUCUUUUUCGUUCUAAAGUAAGAAAUAAUCUCAAAUAUUCCCAGGGAAGAAGAAUCAUCCCGCUCUCUGUGUGUGGACCAAACAUAGUAGUGUGCCCAUUUCGAAAUAUUGGAACUUUGGCGCCAUGAAAUCCAUGUGUCUUCACAAUUGUGAAUUAUUUGUUUAUAUGGAUACCACCUUCGCAAGGUGCGAGUCCCCGCUGCAUGCCUAAAGACAAACAAUACUGUCCCUUUGGAGGGAUAAUUCACAUACUUCACGUACAUGAAUAAUGGUGACAGUUACGCGUGCCCUCAAAAUCAUGAUUAAAUUUCAUUCAAUGUCUUUUUCUAGUUUUUUUAACUUGUUACAAGCACUAAUUUAGUCUUCCCUGAAUUCACAGUUUUUGAGAGAGAGAACUGAAAUAAAUCCUUGUGAGGGCUCGACCCCAGGUGAGUUACCAUCGCCAACUAGACUCGGUUGCACGUCUUUUUGUGGUUGAUCAGAAACCAAAACCCACAAAAUUGAAAAUUCUAUAUUGAAUUAACAGAAGCCCCCUUAAUGUCGAUGAAAUUCUCC